Molecule: ribosomal RNA, 251 nt
Filed under: uncultured prokaryote
Description: partial 16S rRNA
Rfam family: Bacterial small subunit ribosomal RNA
Source: RNAcentral
ACGGAGGGUGAAAGCGUUACUCGGAAUCACUGGGCGUAAAGAGCGUGUAGGCGGGUAAAUAAGUCAGAAGGGAAAUCCUAUAGCUUAAAUAUAGAAAUGCUUUUGAAACUGUAUACCUAGAAUGUGGGAGAGGUAGAUGGAAUUUCUGGUGUAGGGGUAAAAUCCGUAGAGAUCAGAAGGAAUACCGAUUGCGAAGGCGAUCUACUGGAACAUUAUUGACGCUGAGACGCGAAAGCGUGGGGAACAAACAG